ACGAGAGGACCGGAGUGAACGAACCUCUGGUGUUCGGGUUGUCACGCCAGUGGCACUGCCCGGUAGCUAAGUUCGGAAUCGAUAACCGCUGAAAGCAUCUAAGCGGGAAGCGAGCCCUGAGAUGAGUCAUCCCUGACCCCUUGAGGGUCCUAAAGGGCCGUUGGAGACCACAACGUUGAUAGGCGGGGUGUGUAAGUGCAGCGAUGCAUUGAGCUAACCCGUACUAAUUACCCGUGAGGCUUAACCAUACAACACCCAAGAAGUGUUCUG
This 270-nucleotide ribosomal RNA is filed under the name Aeromonas salmonicida. RNAcentral describes it as "partial 23S ribosomal RNA". It matches the Rfam family "Bacterial large subunit ribosomal RNA", at positions 2683 to 2925 of the family's 2925-position model. The record is from RNAcentral. Lineage: Bacteria; Pseudomonadati; Pseudomonadota; Gammaproteobacteria; Aeromonadales; Aeromonadaceae.